AGUGAACGCUGGCGGUAGGCCUAACACAUGCAAGUCGAACGGCAGCACAGUAAGAGCUUGCUCUUACGGGUGGCGAGUGGCGGACGGGUGAGGAAUACAUCGGAAUCUACUUUUUCGUGGGGGAUAACGUAGGGAAACUUACGCUAAUACCGCAUACGACCUACGGGUGAAAGCAGGGGAUCUUCGGACCUUGCGCGAUUGAAUGAGCCGAUGUCGGAUUAGCUAGUUGGCGGGGUAAAGGCCCACCAAGGCGACGAUCCGUAGCUGGUCUGAGAGGAUGAUCAGCCACACUGGAACUGAGACACGGUCCAGACUCCUACGGGAGGCAGCAGUGGGGCAUAUUGGACCAUGGGCGCAAGCCUGAUCCAGCCAUACCGCGUGCGUGAAGAAGGCCUUCGGGUUGUAAAGCCCUUUUGUUGGGAAAGAAAAGCAGCAGGUUAAUACCCCGCUGUUCUGACGGUACCCAAAUAAUAAGCACCGGCUAACUUCGUG
RNAcentral lists this ribosomal RNA (492 nucleotides) under uncultured bacterium. Its description in RNAcentral is "partial 16S ribosomal RNA". It matches the Rfam family "Bacterial small subunit ribosomal RNA", at positions 29 to 507 of the family's 1533-position model. The record is from RNAcentral.